This 497-nucleotide ribosomal RNA is filed under the name uncultured bacterium. Its description in RNAcentral is "partial 16S ribosomal RNA". It matches the Rfam family "Bacterial small subunit ribosomal RNA", at positions 28 to 507 of the family's 1533-position model. The record is from RNAcentral.
GAUGAACGCUGGCGGCGUGCCUAAUACAUGCAAGUCGAGCGAACAGAUCAGGAGCUUGCUCCUUUGACGUUAGCGGCGGACGUGUGAGUAACACGUGGGUAACCUACCUAUAAGACUGGGAUAACUUCGGGAAACCGGAGCUAAUACCGGAUAACAUUUGGAACCGCAUGGUUCUAAAGUGAAAGAUGGUUUUUCUAUCACUUAUAGAUGGACCCGCGCCGUAUUAGCUAGUUGGUAAGGUAACGGCUUACCAAGGCAACGAUACGUAGCCGACCUGAGAGGGUGAUCGGCCACACUGGAACUGAGACACGGUCCAGACGCCUAAGGGAGGCAGCAGUAGGGAAUCUUCCGCAAUGGGGGAAAGCCUGACGGAGCAACGCCGCGUGAGUGAUGAAGGGGUUGGGCGCGUAAAACUCUGUGAUUAGGGAAGAACAAAUGUGUAAGUAACUGUGCACGGCUUGACGGUACCUAAUCAGAAAGCCACGGCUAACUACGUG